Molecule: small nucleolar RNA, 221 nt
Organism: Scleropages formosus (Asian bonytongue)
Lineage: Eukaryota; Metazoa; Chordata; Actinopteri; Osteoglossiformes; Osteoglossidae
Gene: SNORA73
Rfam family: Small nucleolar RNA SNORA73 family
About the family: U17 (SNORA73A and SNORA73B) also known as E1 belongs to the H/ACA class of small nucleolar RNAs (snoRNAs). Vertebrate U17 is intron-encoded and ranges in length from 200-230 nucleotides, longer than most snoRNAs.
Source: Ensembl
CCAACGUGGACAUCCUGUGAGGUUGCUCUCGCUUGGCUCUGUCCGUGUGGCAUAUGGGAGCGCAGCACUUUGGUGCCAUGACGUACAGUCCCGUUCCACGACGUUGGAGAACAAGCUAGUCCCCGGCCUUUGGGCUGGUGUGGAUGGCGUCCUGUAUAUUCCUACAUCUUCCCAGAGCUCUUAAGCUGUUACUGGGGAGGUAAACCAUGCAGUGCACAAGA